RNAcentral lists this long non-coding RNA (1004 nucleotides) under Anser brachyrhynchus (Pink-footed goose). RNAcentral describes it as "lncRNA (ENSABRG00000001723.1)". Lineage: Eukaryota; Metazoa; Chordata; Aves; Anseriformes; Anatidae. The record is from RNAcentral.
CCGAGCCUCCCCUGCUCGCCGGCAAGGGCAGAACCUUCCUGCGAAGCUGUGCUGCCCCAGCAGAGCUGUCCUUCCUGAGCCGGGGGAAACGUGCAGCCCAAAGCUUGCCGAGUGGCUGCGCUUCCCCAGCAGUAGUGCGUAUGGGGGCCCCCCUGAGCUGCCUCUGACCCCUUCUAGUUCUCCACCUCUGUCCCAGCACAUCUGUCAGCUUGUCCUCUGCCAAGCCCCACUGGCCAGCGGGGACAUCCCCUGUCCAGCCGAGGGCUGAGCGAGGCGCCCCGCUGCUCCGCGCCGGGUCCAUGAGCCGGGCAGGACCUUGCCCUUCGCAGCCGGGGCCGCGGCACCCCCACGUCGCUGCGCUGCACGGGAAGCCCCCCCAGCACCCGACACGGAGCCGGAGCCACCGAGGUCUGCUGCCACGUGCAUGAGCGGGAGGCAGAGGAGCGGCCAAAGCCCAGCGCGCCCCUGGCACCUGAUCCCCCCGCGUCCUGCCUUCAUCUGACCCGGGAGGAUGGGGAAGGAGGAGGGUGCCCUGGCUGUGCGCAUGUGCCACAGCUUUUGGGAGCUCCGGUGACGCUGCCCGGCCCAAGCAGAUCCGGACAAGAUGUUCCAGAGGCUGCUGCCGCUUGUUCUUGCGGCGACGGGGGCUGUUCCUGACAAAAGCGCAUCUACAGCAGCCCUGCAAGUUUGCAGACCUGCCUGCGUUUUGCUGAGUUGUUCGUUUGGGACAGAAAAAUGGAAAAAACAGAAAAUGUCCAAGGGUUUCACUUAGCUUUUUUCCUCUGUGAUGUUAAUUGUCAUUUUCUUUUACAGAGGAAAUUUCGGUUGUAAAGUUCCUUGACUUUUGACUUAAAGAAAUGGGAAAAUCCUUAGAAAUAUCCAGAUUUAAAGUGGAAUGUUAUUGCCCUUCUCUGCCUUUUAGAUUCACUGGCACUUAAAGGAAAAUGCUUUCUUCUGUUAAGCUAAUUCUUACCCAAUUGUCAAAAACACGGAAAAAAAAAUAA